RNAcentral lists this ribosomal RNA (722 nucleotides) under uncultured Staphylococcus sp. RNAcentral's name for it is "bacterial SSU rRNA". It matches the Rfam family "Bacterial small subunit ribosomal RNA", at positions 58 to 761 of the family's 1533-position model. The record is from RNAcentral. Lineage: Bacteria; Bacillati; Bacillota; Bacilli; Caryophanales; Staphylococcaceae.
CAAGUCGAGCGAACGGACGAGAAGCUUGCUUCUCUGAUGUUAGCGGCGGACGGGUGAGUAACACGUGGAUAACCUACCUAUAAGACUGGGAUAACUUCGGGAAACCGGAGCUAAUACCGGAUAAUAUUUUGAACCGCAUGGUUCAAAAGUAAAAGACGGUCUUGCUGUCACUUAUAGAUGGAUCCGCGCUGCAUUAGCUAGUUGGUAAGGUAACGGCUUACCAAGGCAACGAUGCAUAGCCGACCUGAGAGGGUGAUCGGCCACACUGGAACUGAGACACGGUCCAGACUCCUACGGGAGGCAGCAGUAGGGAAUCUUCCGCGAUGGGCGAAAGCCUGACGGAGCAACGCCGCGUGAGUGAUGAAGGUCUUCGGAUCGUAAAACUCUGUUAUUAGGGAAGAACAUAUGUGUAAGUAACUGUGCACAUCUUGACGGUACCUAAUCAGAAAGCCACGGCUAACUACGUGCCAGCAGCCGCGGUAAUACGUAGGUGGCAAGCGUUAUCCGGAAUUAUUGGGCGUAAAGCGCGCGUAGGCGGUUUUUUAAGUCUGAUGUGAAAGCCCACGGCUCAACCGUGGAGGGUCAUUGGAAACUGGAAAACUUGAGUGCAGAAGAGGAAAGUGGAAUUCCAUGUGUAGCGGUGAAAUGCGCAGAGAUAUGGAGGAACACCAGUGGCGAAGGCGACUUUCGUGGUCUGUAACUGACGCUGAUGUGCGAAAGCG